Molecule: long non-coding RNA, 233 nt
Organism: Poeciliopsis prolifica (blackstripe livebearer)
Lineage: Eukaryota; Metazoa; Chordata; Actinopteri; Cyprinodontiformes; Poeciliidae
Exons: 3
Source: RefSeq, a predicted model, not a curated record
CCCACGUGGUUGGAAUAAUUAUGGAAAUCGCUGUUUCAUCUUCCAGAAUAACCAAACUGACUGGCUACUGCUGAGCGUGCCUGCCAUAGAUAUGGUGGAAAUCUGGCCUCCGUCCACAACAAAGGUGAACUCACUCUCCUCCAGAAGCUAAUCAGAGUUACGAAAGGAUCGUACGAGAGGACCUGGCUCGGAGGCCAUGAUGCUGAGAAGGAGGGUGUGUGGCUGUGGGAGUG